CCCGCACCGGGCCCACGGCACGGCCGGCAGCGUGGGCUGGAUCUGCCUAGGCGCGGGAGGGAUCCAUUCACCGGGAAGAAAGUUAUCCCCACGUGCAGCUGGACGUAAUGAAGCUUUCUGUGGAUGUUGCAGAGGUGUGUUUGCAGAGGAAGUUAGUUUCAACGGAUGAUGCAGGUACGAGGUAGACAACAUAUCUUGAAUUACUAAAAAACGCUGUUUGCGUCAGAGUAAUGUCAAAGUGCUUACAGUGCAGGUAGUGAUAUAUAGAACCUACUGCAGUGAAGGCACUUGUAGCAUUAUGUUGACAACUGCCUCAGGAGAUCUUGCAGGACUUCAGAGAAUGGAAAGGUGUUCCUUAUCUUGUGCUGAUUGAACUCAGGUAAAAAUAGAAUAGUUCAGUUGGAAGGGACCUACAACAGUCAUCUAAUCCAACUGCCUUGACCACUUCAAAAAAUUAAAGCACAUUCCUCAGGGCAUUGUCCCAGUGCCUCUUAAAUAUUGUCAGGCUCAAAGCAUUGACUGCCUAUUCAGGAAGCCUGUCUCAGAGUUUGAGCACCUUCGCAGUAAAGAAAUGAUUCCUGAUGCAGCUCUGAACUGUUCCCACAUGUCCUAUGACUGAUCUCAGAAGAGAUCAGCACCUCUCUUUUCACUUCUCCUCAGGAAGCUGUACAGAACAAUGUGGUUGUUCCUCAGUCUCCUCCUUUCCAAACUAAACAACAAAAUCCUCAGUCACGCCUCACAGAACAUACCUUCCAGCCCUUCACCAGCUUGGUUGCUCUCCUCUGGACAUGUACAAGGACCUCAAUAUCCUUCUUAAAUUGUGGACCCAGCACUGCAUACAGCAGUCAGGAUGAGGCCACACCACUGCUGAAUACAGAGGCAAAAGCCGCUCUCUUGACAGGUAGGUCAUGCUGCAUUUGAUGCACCCCAGGGUGUGGUUUGACCUCUUGGAUGCCUGGACACAAGACUGACUCACACUGAUCCUGCUGACAACCAGCAAUAUCAGACCCCUUCCUACAGGGCUGCUCCCCAGCCACUCCUCUCCCAUUUGUCCCGGAUGCAGAAUUUGGUAUUUGGACUUGUUAAAUUCCACCUCCUUGGUGAUUACCCAGUGCUUCAGUCUAUUGAGAUCCUUCUGCAAGGUCUCUUGUUUCUCUAGAGACUCAACACCACUAUCUAGAGUGUCCCAGUUUGGUGUCAUCAGCAAAGUUGCAAAUACUGUGUUCAACUCCACAGAAUGUCAGAGCUUGGGACAACUGAGACAUUUGGCUGCCUUAACUGAGUUAGUAGAGCUUAAUUACAGAAAUUUAUAAUCAAAGUAGGCACUGUAAAGAAAUUAGAGGGAAUUAAAAUGUAUAUUUGAAGACAAAAGUUCAAGAUAAACUUCAAAAACAUCAAGGUGUUCUUUUAGCAGAACACUUUUAAGAGUGUGCUCUGAAGUAACUGAGGUAACUCUGCAUUCAUUCUGCUGAUUUAAUAUAAUAAUUACCUUUAAGUGUUUUAAAAUUCUGAAUAUAAUGGUUUGCAGUAGCAAAUGUAUAAAAUCCAUUAAGAAAGGCUUGUGUGAACUUCUUAUCUAGUGUGUGAGGAAAUGCAUCUGCUGCUUAGUUAUAUGUAACUGUCUUUCAUUUGGGUGUCUAAUUGAAAGGAGAACUGGAAGAGCUUCUAGGGUCUUAGUUAAAUGUCAUAUUUUUAGAGAUGGCAAUAUAAUAAUUUGAGAUAGGUAUCCUUUUUAUGAAAUACAAAGUUUUUAUAAUUUUAAUGAGAUAAAUAUAAUUUUGUGUCUUGAGUAAUGAAGGAAACUCAGUGGUCCUGAAACUUAGCAUGAUGUGUUUUGUAUUUACUAUUCUGGAACAGAAGUUGGGUAGCUGUUGCCAUGUUUGAACAGUUGGUGGCUCCAAUGCUUUGCAGCUAUCACAAUACAUACUGCUGAAACAAGUUAGUUCAAUUCUAGCUGUAGCAAACUAGUUAGAAAUGUAAAAGGAAAAUUGGAAUUAGAAACCAAGUAAAUAGCCAAACACUUGCAACUUGAAUUUAACGCCACUGGGUAAAUAUCCCCUUUUUUAUUCUUAGAUAAGCAUAAACUCCACUAUUGCAGUCUAGCCUAAGAUAAAUUUUAAAAGGGUUCCUUUUCAAAAUGCCUGUUCAUAAUCAGUAGCAAUAUUAUUAAAAACGGCAUAGCUGCCAGCAUUCCUCCUCCAUAUUGCUGGAUUAUAAAGGCAGAAGAAAUUACAGCCAUUAUGACCACGAAAAAGGAGGGAGAGAAUAAUCAAUCCAUUUCUGCAAAAGAGGCAGAGAUGAGCAUUUUAGACAGACUUUAAACUGAGGCUUGCUCAAGUGCUUAUGUACCUAAAAGGGAAAGUUCUUUGGGUGUGGAAAUAAAGGAUUUGGUUGCCACUGGUACUUGAUAAAACAAGAUGACAACUUCUAACACAAGAGCAGGUGCUACUUUUAGCUGUCUUUUCAGUCAUUGCAGGAACGUUUAAUAAAUAUAAAACUUGAAGAUGAAAAAGGUUGUGAAAAAUGUUAGUCCUAGAAAUUUGGAGAAAGUCUUAGAUAAAUGUGUAGACAUGAGACUAAGAAACGUCUGGUGAUGACUUCUUCCAAUUUUUUGACCCCCAAAAAUAUGACUGGAGAGAUGGAACAUGACUCCACAGGUUUUCCAUGUUCUAGAGAAAAGGAAAACGUAGAUUUUUUUUUUGUUUUUGUUUUGUUUUGUUCACCACUGUUGGAAAGCUACAGUCUGUCUGUUUUUGAUGGAAUGUUUGUAUUAUGCCAUCCUGAACUAGUAUACGUACUCUGGUACAGUAUUCUGUCUUGUUUUUCAUCUGGAUUGUUAUUACCGUGUUUUGUUCUUGAAAGUUCUCUAGUUUAUGGUAGAAACAGCACUGCAGGACAAUGACAGGGAAUGCAGCCUUGCAGGUACAGCAUGGCCCUCCAAACCACAGUGAGGUAAAGAGCAGAUGAGAAGACACAGUGAAUGAAAUCAUAUAGUGACCCAAAGUUACACGCAAGUGCAGUUUGGAUGUAGCAUUUUCUUUCUGUAUAGUUGAAUGUUACGUGCUAAAGAAAUUCUGUUUGGGACUGAAAAAGGGGGGGAAAGGAUUUGAGCAGUCUUUAUAAUGUGCAAACUCAAGACCCUUAAUUUUUAUUUUCUUCUGGAGGAAAUGAACAAAAAUUAGCCCUACUGAUUAGAAUUUUUAUGUCCAUUUUGAUUGCUGUAUGGCAUUAUCCUACCCCAGCAAUAUUCCAUCAAACAACAUAACUAGCAAGGUGAAGCAAAAAAAAAGUAUCUGUUCAAUACCUACCCUGACUUCUAUUUUUAAAUUAAGAUUUUUGAACUAAUUUCUUUAUAUUCAAGUCAUCUAAGAGCUGCACUUGAAGACAAGGCUGGAAUAUAGUUAGAGAUACAGUAUUUACUGGAGAACUCCCCUAGCUUUUCUUCUAAGCCUCUAACAUUCUUUUCAAGUAUGUUCUGUGAUCACUUUUUCCUAUUUUUAAUAAUAUUUCUAUUAAUAUUAAUUGUUGAUAAAUUUUAUUGAAACCAGGUAGUACUAAGAUUGAACUUACAUGCUUGUAUUAUCUACACAGAACUCCAGGACAGCCAGUGGACCAUCAGCAGACUAACAUCUCAAAGUAUUUCCAUGCUGCACUAAUUAAUUCUUGUUCCUACAGUGGACUCCGAAGUUGCUCACAUGUAAUAUGUAGCUUCCAUAAAAUACCAAAAAUGGUGUUAAUGCCAUUGAGAAAACGGGAAAAACACACCAAUCUGAGACCCUCAUCCAGGACUAGUCAGCUCAUUAGAGGGGAUCAGUUUGGUUUCAGUUUGUGAAAGGAUUUGUCUUUAAGAAAAAAAUUUUGUGUUAUCUAUGUAUCUUCUUAAGCACACUAUUUUUUUUCUUUAAUGAGGACCCUGGCCUUACUUUUUCCAGGCUGUUUAAUACAAAAUGAGAAGUAAACUUGAAGUAUGCUUCACAAGUAGUUCAAGGAUAACAGUGUUCAUGAAACUUGAAGUGUGGUGGGUGGCUUUGGUAUUCACAUUUAGUAUAUCCACCUGAAGAUUUUUCCCGCAGCUGAGGUGUUUUGGAUAUCUCAUACCUAUAACAGCAGAGAAAUACCUGUUAACACAUAACUAUAUGUACUAGGCAUAUAGCCAUUAACAUCAUUACACAAUUGCCAUAAUUGAGAUCAUUACAAUUGACUUUGCAUUGUGAAUUUCAUUAUCAAGUUAAUAAAGUUUUUGUGCUGGUGGAAGUUGUGUCCUGAAAAAUAUAGACUGAUCCAUAAAAAGAGCUCAUUAUGUGGUUCGGCAGGAGGUUCAACAGCCUUUGAAUAGAAAACUGUGGCAGUAUUUUGUGUGUUUAUAGUGCAGGAAAAAAUCACUGCUAGCAUUUUUAGAUUAAAUUCUUGAUCAUGUGUAGCAAGGGUAUCCCAUUUGGUAGACUGGUGUUCUCGUUUUCCCCAGACCAGCUGCUACAACUACUACAGUGCAUGUUAAAAUAAUAUCAGAGAUGGAUUGCAUAGCCUUGCUACUUAAAAAAAUACAUUAAUAUCUUGCAUGUUCACUUGGGAGGUGGGAAAGUUUGGAGCUGUGUCAAGCAGACAGACAGCUAGUCACUUGAAUCUUGAAUGUAUGAAUGAUAUUAAAGAAAAUGAAGGUGACUCCAUUAAUUUUAUUUGAUACUUAGUUACAUCAGGUGUAACAGAGUUACUGUGUUUUGCUCUAAAUUUGAGACUUGCUAUGAAUUCUUUACAUUAGUGUGUCAAUUCAGGGGAGACCUAAUGGUGAGGUAGGUCACCUAUUCAACACUGGCAGCGUGUAGCUCCUAGUAAUCUAAAAAUAGAUGCAUGGGAGUUGUUACUAAUGGAAACUUAAACCUUUACUGCCUUUCAGGAGUGCCUAUGUCUGUCCUGAUUUUUAAAAUGAAAAGAAAAUAAGAGAUUAAGAGUGUUCACCCCAGAAUAUCUAAGGAAGUCUCCAUGGAAACAGUGUACCUAGCAGUAAGAAGUACUUUUGAGAGUAAAUGGCUGACUGCUGAGCUAUGUUUGAAAUAUAAAUUAUUAAAUGAAUAAAACCUUUAUGAAAAUAAUGUGCAAUUACCUUCUGGAUACAGUACUCUGAAGUCAGUACUGGAAUUUGGAAUUACUGUGAAGAACGGAAGCUGUGUCUGUGUAGGCAGGAUCCCAGGUCUGAACUUCUGCACCCUUUUCCUUUUCAAUAGAAGUGGGAAGUCAGUACUGCAGAGCUCGGGGCCGGGGCGUGUGGGGAUGUAUGACGGGGAGAAGACCUUUCCCCGCACCCCCAUGUCCCCAAGCCGAGGGUGCACCUGCGGGAGCGGGGCAGUCCCCGGGAGCAGCGGCAGGCACAGCACUGCCUCGGCUCUGGCUGCCAGCGGCUGUUCCUGGCUGGCAGCGGCCGGCUGAGUUCACCCGGGAGAUGAAGAGCGUGUGAAGAGUUAUGGAGAGGCCGGACGCUGGGACAGAAGGGAUGUUGGGACCGUAAUGCGCCGGGGAAGCCUCAGCUGAAGUUAAUGGAAGAAUAGCAUCUGCUGCGUGCUUGGGGGCAGGAGGAGCAAUGCUGGUGGUCUGUCAUUGUUGAAGAUGUCCCUGCUCGUCACAGGGGAAUUGGACUAGAGGACCUUUAAAGGUCCCUCCCAAACUUUACUAUGAUUGUAAUGUACUCCUAUGUGGUCUGCAUCUGUUUCCCCAGUGCUCUCUCUCUCAUGUGUCCCUGCCUGAGUUUUCAGCUGACAACUCUUUGUCGUUGGAAGCAUGAAACAGUAAUACCUUUUUCUCAUUAAGAGUUCAAAAAAAUGCAAUUAAAAUUAAUAUUUUCCCUUCUUUAAAAAGCAUCAAAAUAUCCCAACCAACAUUAUUGAGAAUUAUCUCAAAAUCAGGUAAAAGUGUUGCAAGGCUAAUAUAAAUUCUUGAGCUCUGCUUUUAAUGAACGGUUAGAUGAAUUAAGAGUUGUGUGUAAAGUUUUACGGGCCUUACUAAGUUUAUGGUAUCAUUGGUAAAUGUGGCAUUGUUAUGAAUACAAAUGUGUUUGUACCUUUUAGUCCUACUUCACUAGCUUUAUUAUCCCAACCUAAAAUAAGACAACUGUUUGGGUUUGGCUUGUUUUUUUUUUCUUGUCUUUUUGGUUGUGGGUUUUUGGUUUUUUUCUUACUAUCUAUAGAAUUAUUAUAAUAGCUUUGUAUAACUGAAUAAAAAGUUGGUGAUUUGUUGUGUGGUUUUUGUUUUGUUGUUCCUCCCCAUGCUGUUCCUGUAACUUCAAGAAGUUCUAUUUCAGUCCUAGGAUCCCUAUUCUGUUCAAAGACAUACAAAAAUCAAAAGGAUGUUAUCAAAACCAAGAACUUACAGAGUGCGUAUAUUAGAUCAGAAAUAAAAUUUGACACUGGGAGAUGAUGUGAACAUAGCAGUCAACACAGACACUAGUCUGUCUUCUUAAUCAAUAAAGACUGAUUUCCUUCCUUCACUGUGGUAUGUGUAAAAUUAAUAGUCAAAACACUUACUCUUCUAAAUCACUUUUCAAAUCUUUUUACUAUGAGGCAGCUUAAUAGAUGUUUGAACUACUUUCAGAUACAUGAGAAUAAAUAGCAUGAAAGUAUAUGAUCAUUUCAGAAUGUGGAGACAGGUGCUGUAGUCCUUGGGAAGUAGAAACUCCCCUUUGCAUCCUGAGAGGGGACCACUUAGAAGGAUAUGCAACUAAAGCCAAGCAGCUUGUGUUUGACACCAUAAGGAAUAUGAGAAAAGUGAACAUGGUCUAAGCAACAGGUUGGAAAGGGUUAUUUUUGUAGUAGCUCUCUGAAGAGAUGAAAACAGGAAAGGUGGCACAGCCAUAUAAAGUGUUUUCAUUUGUUAGAAGAUGACAGUCCAAAGGAGAACGUCAUUUGUGUAGAUGAGGAGAAAACUUAGCUGUAUUCCAAAAAUAAUAGAAAGCUUCAUUUUAGCUUCCUGUAAUUUAGAGGGAUAAAUUGAAGAUCCUCCUUUGGCAUUGCACCAGUGUUUCAGGUAAUACAGGGGUAUUGUUUGUGAUUAAGGAAAAAGGCAAAGGGAGAAUUUGUAGAAGGAGUAUUCUUAAGUCAUGUUAACAGCUAGAUGUGCAUGAAGAGCCAUCAGGUUUGUAUGUUCAGGCUUUGGCCAAGAAGAUACAAGUCUAGCCAAUGCUAAUGUUCUCUCAUAAACUUCAUAUAUAUGUAUAUAUAUUCUCAUAUUAAAAUAAGAGGAGUUCCUUUUUUUCUGCAAACCUGCUCCAUAACAGGCAUCUCACAGGGUCACAUCCUCCUUCAAGCAUCCACCUGCUCUGGCAUGGGAUUCUGCAUUCUGAAUUCAUUCACAGGUCACAGACCUUUCAACUCCAGUUCAGACUAAAGUUCCAGCCUGUCCAGCACAGCAGGAUAGAACAGCAGCCACCACACUCUGGCCACGUUCCAUCUUUGGAGGCACAUCUGAAUGGCUGUACUCAAGGCAUUCCCAGGCACAAUACAGUAAGGUGAUAAAGCAAAAUACAGUAAGCAAAAGCAAAAUGUGCCUACUAAAAAGCAGUAGAUUCAAAAUACAGUCACAAAAGUAAGCCCCAUGGCAAGAGACAGGAGCCUGCUCAUUACCAGCUAAACAGCACUAGCAAAUAUAAAUUCAGUCUAGCACAUCCUAGAAUAAUUAAUUCUUGAAACUUGUUAGCUAAAAUACACAUUUUAAGCUAAAAUACGCAUUUUAAGCUAAAAUACACAUUUAAAUACACACUAAAAUCAGGGAAGCUUUGAAGCAUAUAACCUGAAAUUAAAUUCAGUCUUCUAAUGGAGCAAAAAAUAAUUAUUUCCUUCACACUUCUUAUGCUAAAGUUAUUAACAAAAAUAAAAAUUGAAAAACCAACUCUCCAAAUCCCCCAACAAACAAAAGCCCACUGCACCUUUUGGACCAAACUAGAAUCUUUCUCAUAUGGUAAGAACUAGUUAAAACAUGUACAUUCAAUUUCUUACCAAAAACCUCCCUCUUCCCUUAAACUGUAAAGCUGGAGGAUAGAGGUUUCUCUGAAUUGCUAUUAGUGGAGGACAUGAGGAAGUACUGGUUCUAUUUGAAGCAAAGGGAUUCUAAAGAUUUCCCAACAUCAUCUAUUGCUGUAGGCAAACUUCCAUGUGGUUGUGGGGUAAAGGAAAAAUCUGUAAGUAGGAAAUCUGUAAGUUUUCUUAACUAGCAAGAUUUUUUUCUAAAUACUAGUACUUUAUUUUUUCAUAAGUUUACUGUGAGUGCUGCACAUCUUAUAUUAGGUGUUGCGGAUGGCAUUUCAUCAUUUCCAGAAUUUGCUCUACCAUCUUCAAGUUGUUGAAUGAGAUCCUAUAUUCUCUGGCUCCCAUGUUCAGGUUGUUUUCUCCAGUGGUAUUUUUCAGUAUCUUAAAAAAGACUAUUUUAUUUAAUGGCAAGGAGUUCACUGCCUACUACCAGCUUCCAUACAAGACAUUGCAAUUUUUUUUUUUAAUUUUAAUCUAAAGCAAAUCUUUUUAUUUGCUAGAGGACUCACUGUUUUCUUCCCUCCCUCCCCUGUUUUUUUCAUGGGGGCUUAAAAUGUCUUUUGCUGUAGUGUGCUUUAUCAAGAAGAUUGUAACCUGUCAUCUGUGUACACUCUUUAUACAUCAAUGUAUAAGAAAAGUACAACAAAUUCUAUUAAAGGACAUUUAAUAUAAUCUAUGUUGGAGCUUGCUGACAGAAGGAAGUUGCCAAGCCUAGGAGUAUGAAUGAUUGAGAAAUACCAGUCCUCUCCCCUUCUUAUGGGCUCUCAUUCAGCAGACUGGAAAUGGCAUUGUUUUAUUGCUUGCUCAGUAGUGGUUGAUCUCUAGUGCAAAUUUUAAUAACUUAUGUUUUGGUUUGUUAACUGUAUUAAAAUAAAUGCGUGGAAUAAUCUACA
RNA transcript from Passer domesticus (house sparrow), 8905 nucleotides. RefSeq lists it as uncharacterized. The transcript is spliced from 4 exons. NCBI's taxonomy places the organism in Eukaryota, Metazoa, Chordata, Aves, Passeriformes, Passeridae. The record is from RefSeq and is a predicted model, not a curated record.